Molecule: ribosomal RNA, 719 nt
Filed under: uncultured archaeon
Lineage: Archaea
Description: bacterial SSU rRNA
Rfam family: Archaeal small subunit ribosomal RNA
Source: RNAcentral
UACUGCUCAGUAACACGUCGUCAAUCUGCCGUUGCGAGGCGUUAAUCCUGGGAAACUGGGGGUAAUACGCCGUAGCACCCGAAAUCUGGAAUGGUUUUGGGUGUGAGAAGAUGCACCCGCAUGCUGGGUGUAAUCGCGCAUCGAUGAGACGGCGGUCGAUUAGGUAGUUGGUGGGGUAACGGCCCACCAAGCCGACGAUCGAUACGGGCCUUGAAAGAGGGAGCCCGGAGAAGGGAACUGAGAUAAGGUCCCUAGCCCUAAGGGGUGCAGCAGUUAGGAAACCUUUACACUGCGCGCAAGCGCGAUAGGGGUAGUUCGAGUGCGCUCUCUGAGCGCUUUUGCCAACCGUAAAUACGUUGGCGAAUAAGGGGGGGGUAAUAUACGUGCCAGCCGCCGCGGUAAUACGUAAUCCCCAAGUGGUACCCACGAAUAUUGGGCCUAAAGCGUUCGUAGCCGGUCGAACAAGUCCUUGGUGAAAAGGGCACGCUUAACGUGUCCAAUGGCUAAGGAUACUGUUCGGCUAAGAGGCUAGUAGAGGUGCAUGGAAUUACGGGGGUAACGGUGAAAUGUUGUGAUCCUCGUAGGACCACCGGUAGCGAAGGCGAUGCACCAGGAUAGACCUGACGGUGAGGAACGAAAGCUGGGGGAGCGACCCGGAUUAGAUACCCGGUUAGUCCCAGCUGUAAACGAUGCAGACUAGGUGUUCGGUUUUCUACGUG